UGGGGAAUAUUGGACAAUGAGCGCAAGCCUGAUCCAGCAAUGCCGCGUGAGUGAGGAAGGCCUUAGGGUUGUAAAGCUCUUUCGCGCGCGACGAUGAUGACGGUAGCGCGAGAAGAAGCCCCGGCUCACUUCGUGCCAGCAGCCGCGGUAAUACGGAGGGGGCGAGCGUUGUUCGGAUUUACUGGGCGUAAAGGGCGCGCAGGCGGCCACUCAAGUCAGGCGUGAAAGCCCCGGGCUCAACCUGGGAGGUGCGCUUGGGACUGGGUGGCUAGAGAUCGGGAGAGGAGAGUGGAAUUCCCAGUGUAGAGGUGAAAUUCGUAGAUAUUGGGAAGAACACCGGUGGCGAAGGCGGCUCUCUGGACCGAGACUGACGCUGAGGCGCGAAAGCGUGGGGAGCAAAC
Molecule: ribosomal RNA, 401 nt
Filed under: uncultured bacterium
Lineage: Bacteria
Description: bacterial SSU rRNA
Rfam family: Bacterial small subunit ribosomal RNA
Source: RNAcentral